Long non-coding RNA from Hyla sarda, 1009 nucleotides. RefSeq lists it as uncharacterized. The transcript is spliced from 8 exons. NCBI's taxonomy places the organism in Eukaryota, Metazoa, Chordata, Amphibia, Anura, Hylidae. The record is from RefSeq and is a predicted model, not a curated record.
CGGCCGCUGACGCACUUCCCCCACACACUCAGUGCCCGGUAACGGCCCCGGUCACCUCCGCGCAUACACUGUAUCUCUCCAUAUUACCCCAUGUGUUCGUGUAUUCUACUCAUAUGAAUGUUGGACCACUCUUCCUAUAACCAUCAAUAAGCUUCUUACACCUCUCAGCCGGACUGUUGGACCACUCUUCCUUUACAAACUGCUCCAGGUCUCCUAUUGGAAGGCGCCUUUUUAUAUUGCCCACACCUGUUACUUGCCCCAGGAACUAAAGGACAUCCAUAGAUGGUAGACCUGGAGGUUUUCUGUAGGCCCCGAGUUGCCAUGGACACACAGUGGGGGACAAGGAUCAGAAUGCGCUGACAUAGUGAGGAGACGUCUGGGCAUCAAGUUCUGCAGAGAGAAGAUUUAGCUGGAACAAAUCCUGGCGAUCCUGAGGUCAAGUCCAGUCCAGACGUCUCAGAGUCAGUGUCCAGCAUAUCUGGAGGCCUCAAGCCUGACCUACAGCCACAUGUCAAUGUAGCAGAGCUGGAUUUUGUGGAUACAGAUUAGUGUAGCUGGAGAAGCAAUUUAAAACAUUUUCAAGAUGCGAACAAAGAAGACAUUCUGGCCAUUGUAGUCCUCCAAGCCUGAACACAAGUUUAAUAAGUAAUGACUCAGGGCGGGUGAUGGAGGAGCCCGGACCUGCCAAAUACGACAUCAUAACAGAUCCCAACUUUUCUCAUCAAACAUCCGCCUCGAUGGGGUCACCGGACCGGAUGAAUGAGCACAUUACAUAUCUGAGCCCGACUUCUGCUGAUGUGGAAUCUAUUAGACUUGGGCAAAUAAAAAAGUUGGCACCGUCUCGGAUCCCGGCUCUGUGUGCGUUUCGUAGCCACUUCCUGGACAUCACAUGACCCGCUGAUAGCCGGAGCCCUCAUCACUGCACAGGGGCAGGUCACACAUCUGCGCUGAUAUACGGGAAUAGUGGGAGAGGUUUUCUUUAUUUCAGUAACUGUGUGGUCAGGACUAU